AUUGCCCUAGUAACGGCGAGUGAAGCGGCAACAGCUCAAAUUUGAAAUCUGGCCUUCGGGUCCGAGUUGUAAUUUGUAGAGGAUGCUUUUGGUGAGGUGCCUUCCGAGUUCCCUGGAACGGGACGCCAUAGAGGGUGAGAGCCCCGUCUGGUUGGACACCGAUCCUCUGUAAAGCUCCUUCAACGAGUCGAGUAGUUUGGGAAUGCUGCUCUAAAUGGGAGGUAUAUGUCUUCUAAAGCUAAAUAUUGGCCAGAGACCGAUAGCGCACAAGUAGAGUGAUCGAAAGAUGAAAAGCACUUUGAAAAGAGAGUUAAAAAGUACGUGAAAUUGUUGAAAGGGAAGCGCUCAUGACCAGACUUGGGCUUGGUUGAUCAUCCAGGGUUCUCCCUGGUGCACUCUUCCAGUUCAGGCCAGCAUCAGUUCGCUGCGGGGGAUAAAGGCUUUGGGAAUGUGGCUCCUUCGGGAGUGUUAUAGCCCAUUGUGUAAUACCCUGUGGUGGACUGAGGACCGCGCUUUUGCAAGGAUGCUGGCGUAAUGGUCAUCAGUGACCCGUCUUGAAACACGGACCAAGGAGUCGUCUUCGUAUGCGAGUGUUCGGGUGUUAAACCCCUACGCGUAAUGAAAGUGAACGCAGGUGAGAGCUUCGGCGCAUCAUCGACCGAUCCUGAUGUUCUCGGAUGGAUUUGAGUAAGAGCAUACGGGGCCGGACCCGAAAGAAGGUGAACUAUGCCUGUAUAGGGUGAAGCCAGAGGAAACUCUGGUGGAGGCUCGCAGCGGUUCUGACCUGCAAAUCGAUCGUCAAAUAUGGGCAUGGGGGCGAAAGACUAAU
This 829-nucleotide ribosomal RNA is filed under the name Dactylonectria pauciseptata. RNAcentral's name for it is "eukaryotic LSU rRNA". It matches the Rfam family "Eukaryotic large subunit ribosomal RNA", at positions 74 to 935 of the family's 3401-position model. Lineage: Eukaryota; Fungi; Ascomycota; Sordariomycetes; Hypocreales; Nectriaceae. The record is from RNAcentral.